Molecule: ribosomal RNA, 465 nt
Filed under: Vreelandella stevensii
Lineage: Bacteria; Pseudomonadati; Pseudomonadota; Gammaproteobacteria; Oceanospirillales; Halomonadaceae
Description: partial 16S ribosomal RNA
Rfam family: Bacterial small subunit ribosomal RNA
Source: RNAcentral
CCUACGGGGGGCUGCAGUGGGGAAUAUGGGACAAUGGGGGCAACCCUGAUCCAGCCAUGCCGCGUGUGUGAAGAAGGCCCUCGGGUUGUAAAGCACUUUCAGUGAGGAAGAACGCCUGGUGGUUAAUACCCAUCAGGAAAGACAUCACUCACAGAAGAAGCACCGGCUAACUCCGUGCCAGCAGCCGCGGUAAUACGGAGGGUGCGAGCGUUAAUCGGAAUUACUGGGCGUAAAGCGCGCGUAGGUGGCUUGAUAAGCCGGUUGUGAAAGCCCCGGGCUCAACCUGGGAACGGCAUCCGGAACUGUCAAGCUAGAGUGCAGGAGAGGAAGGUAGAAUUCCCGGUGUAGCGGUGAAAUGCGUAGAGAUCGGGAGGAAUACCAGUGGCGAAGGCGGCCUUCUGGACUGACACUGACACUGAGGUGCGAAAGCGUGGGUAGCAAACAGGAUUAGAUACCCCAGUAGUC